Long non-coding RNA from Mauremys reevesii (Reeves's turtle), 358 nucleotides. RefSeq lists it as uncharacterized. Lineage: Eukaryota; Metazoa; Chordata; Testudines; Geoemydidae. The record is from RefSeq and is a predicted model, not a curated record. The transcript is spliced from 4 exons.
GCCAGAUAAGCCUUGAGUUGAACCAGCAGAUGGCCAGCUAUACCAGCCCCUCCCAUGAGAAGUGCCGGUCUCUUUCUUUCAGAGUUUCCUGUAUAAGGCGCUAGGAACGUCCUUAGCAGUUUGUCAGGACCUGGUCCACGUUAAAUCGCAGCUUCAUAAAUUUUUGACAGCAACAGAUUAUAUGGAAGCCCCUGAGAGACAGGGAGUCAUUUCCAUCUUCACAUUCUCUGCUGAGAGCCACUUGGACCUCACCCUGAACGCACUUCAGGAGUUUGGGGCUGCAAUGAGCAAGGUUACGAUUCCUGGGUUCAUCAGCCGCCUGAAGGACCACCACCAUGGGAGAAGAGGCAAGACUCGC